RNAcentral lists this ribosomal RNA (567 nucleotides) under Triatoma garciabesi. RNAcentral describes it as "SSU rRNA". It matches the Rfam family "Eukaryotic small subunit ribosomal RNA", at positions 634 to 1113 of the family's 1831-position model. The record is from RNAcentral. Lineage: Eukaryota; Metazoa; Arthropoda; Insecta; Hemiptera; Reduviidae.
AGUUGGUUCUGCGUGCCGCGCUGUCGGUUCGCCGCCUGUCGGUGUAACUGGCAUGUCGCGGCAUGUCCUGUCGGUGGUGAACGGAGUCCACGACGCUACAUGGGCUUUAUAGUCGAUGUUAGCAUCGUGUGUACUUCCGUUGGCCGAUCUCUCCUACUUCGGUGCUCUUAAACGAGUGUCGAGGUAGGCCGACACGUUCACUUUGAACAAAUUAGAGUGCUUAAAGCAGGCUGAAAUAUCUGCCUGAAUAGUGGUGCAUGGAAUGAUAAAACAGGACCUCGGUUCUAUUUUGUUGGUUUUAGGAAUAUGAGGUAAUGAUCAAUGUGGACUGGCGGGGGCAUUCGUAUUGCGACGUUAGAGGUGAAAUUCUUGGAUCGUCGCAAGACGCACUAGAGCGAAAGCAUUUGCCAAGUAUGUCUUAAUUGAUCAAGAACGAAAGUUAGAGGUUCGAAGGCGAUCAGAUACCGCCCUAGUUCUAACCAUAAACGAUGCCAGCCAGCGAUCCGCCGAUGUUCCUUUAAUGACUCGGCGGGGAGCUUCCACCCGGGAAACCAAAGCUUUUGGGUU